RNAcentral lists this ribosomal RNA (801 nucleotides) under Triticum aestivum (bread wheat). Its description in RNAcentral is "partial small subunit ribosomal RNA". The record is from RNAcentral. Lineage: Eukaryota; Viridiplantae; Streptophyta; Magnoliopsida; Poales; Poaceae.
AUGAGUAAUGCCACUUUCUCUAUCUGUUCGUGGAAUGUACGUUGACUGGGAGACGAUGCCAAAUGCUCUGACGUUCUCUCUGAACUGAUCUUGAUCAAGCCUCAUAUUGCAUUAUUACAAGAGUCUAAACUCGACGCAUUCUCGGACUCGAAGUUACAAUCCUUUAUGCCCAUGCAGUUUGACCAAGUUUUCUCCCUACCUGCCAUCGGCACGACGGGUGGCACCAUCUCCGCCGUCAAUUCUGCCUCGUUCCAAGUAAUCUCCUUCAACCACCUCACAUUCUCGUCAACCCCGAUCUUGCGAUCUACGAUAACUGACCGUAACAUAGCGAUCACCAAUAUAUAUGCCCCCUCCUCCCGCACCCUCAAACAAUCCUUCCUCAAUGAGUUACUUGCUAUCUCACAACACGACGAAUCACCUUGGCUACUUGUGGGCGAUUUUAACCUACUUCGAUACCCCUCUAACAAAAAUAAUGACGUUUUUAGACAAUCUGAGGCCAAUGCAUUUAACCAAACCCUUGAUGAGCUCGCCCUUAUUGAACUGCCUCUGCUUGACCGUCAAUAUACUUGGUCCAACAAUAGAGCAACACCCACCCUAGAACAUAUUGGUCGUGCAUUCUUUAACUUAGCAUGGGCCGAUGCCUUCCCCAACUCCUCCCUCUCCUCCCUCACGCGUAUCACAUCAUAUCAUGUACCCCUCCUCAUACACGUCACCACAACGAUACCGCGCUCCAAUUUUUUCAAAUUUGAACCUGGUUGGGCCUCUCUGUGGACAUGCGCUGAAAUUAUCAGCAGUAUUUAG